CACGUAGGGCGCAAGCGUUGUCCGGAAUUAUUGGGCGUAAAGAGCUCGUAGGCGGUUUGUUGCGUCGGCCGUGAAAACUCAGGGCUUAACUCUGAGCCUGCGGUCGAUACGGGCAGACUUGAGUUCGGUAGGGGAGACUGGAAUUCCUGGUGUAGCGGUGAAAUGCGCAGAUAUCAGGAGGAACACCGGUGGCGAAGGCGGGUCUCUGGGCCGAUACUGACGCUGAGGAGCGAAAGCGUGGGGAGCGAACAGG
RNAcentral lists this ribosomal RNA (253 nucleotides) under uncultured bacterium. RNAcentral describes it as "partial 16S ribosomal RNA". It matches the Rfam family "Bacterial small subunit ribosomal RNA", at positions 524 to 776 of the family's 1533-position model. The record is from RNAcentral.